UACGGAGGGUGCAAGCGUUGUCCGGAUUUAUUGGGUUUAAAGGGUGCGUAGGCGGCCCGAUAAGUCAGUGGUGAAAGCCUCCAGCUCAACUGGAGAACUGCCAUUGAUACUGUCGGGCUUGAGUACAGACGAGGUUGGCGGAAUUGAUUGUGUAGCGGUGAAAUGCAUAGAUACAAUCAAGAACACCGAUUGCGUAGGCAGCUAACUAGGCUGUAACUGACGCUGAGGCACGAAAGCGUGGGGAG
Molecule: ribosomal RNA, 245 nt
Filed under: uncultured Adhaeribacter sp.
Lineage: Bacteria; Pseudomonadati; Bacteroidota; Cytophagia; Cytophagales; Hymenobacteraceae
Description: partial 16S ribosomal RNA
Rfam family: Bacterial small subunit ribosomal RNA
Source: RNAcentral